Small nucleolar RNA from Ornithorhynchus anatinus (platypus), 133 nucleotides. RefSeq annotates it as small nucleolar RNA SNORA51. The transcript has a single exon. The record is from RefSeq and is a predicted model, not a curated record. Lineage: Eukaryota; Metazoa; Chordata; Mammalia; Monotremata; Ornithorhynchidae.
CCCCUCCUCUCGCUUACCGCAGGCAGCAGCGGCCGUGCUGACUGUACAGAAAGAGGAGGGAGAGCAGGCGCCCCUGAAUACACCCCAGUGGUGGAGUCUGUGCCCCGACUGGACUGUGAUCAGGGGGACAAGU